GGCGGCGUGCCUAACACAUAGCAAGUCGAACGGGACGUUAUUGAGACGAUUUCGGUCUGAUCAGUUAAGUUAGUGGCGGACGGGUGAGUAACGCGUGGACAACCUGCCUUCACAGGGGGAUAGCAGCUGGAAACGGCUGGUAAUACCGCAUACGCUCAUAUCACCGCAUGGUGAUAUGAGGAAAGAUUUAUCGGUGAAAGAUGGAUCCGCGUCUGAUUAGCCAGUUGGCGGGGUAACGGCCCACCAAAGCGACGAUCAGUAGCCGGCCUGAGAGGGCGGACGGCCACAUUGGGACUGAGACACGGCCCAGACUCCUACGGGAGGCAGCAGUGGGGGAUAUUGCACAAUGGGCGCAAGCCUGAUGCAGCGACGCCCGCGUGAGUGAAGAAGUAUUUCGGUAUGUAAAGCUCUAUCAGCAGGGAAGAAAGGCCCCUUUGGGGAGAUGACGGUACCUGACUAAGAAGCCCCGGCUAACUACGUGCCAGCCGCCGC
This 492-nucleotide ribosomal RNA is filed under the name uncultured bacterium. RNAcentral's name for it is "bacterial SSU rRNA". It matches the Rfam family "Bacterial small subunit ribosomal RNA", at positions 38 to 518 of the family's 1533-position model. The record is from RNAcentral.